GGAUAUAGCUCAAUGGUAGAGCGCAUGCUUAGCAUGCGUGAGGUUCUGGGUUCAAUCCCCAGUACUUCCA
RNAcentral lists this transfer RNA (70 nucleotides) under Camelus bactrianus (Bactrian camel). It matches the Rfam family "tRNA". From Rfam's summary of the family: Transfer RNA (tRNA) molecules are approximately 80 nucleotides in length. Their secondary structure includes four short double-helical elements and three loops (D, anti-codon, and T loops). Lineage: Eukaryota; Metazoa; Chordata; Mammalia; Artiodactyla; Camelidae. RNAcentral also lists the same sequence under 2 other names. The record is from Rfam by way of RNAcentral.